RNAcentral lists this ribosomal RNA (429 nucleotides) under Gemmatimonadota bacterium. Its description in RNAcentral is "Gemmatimonadetes bacterium partial 16S ribosomal RNA". It matches the Rfam family "Bacterial small subunit ribosomal RNA", at positions 355 to 776 of the family's 1533-position model. The record is from RNAcentral. Lineage: Bacteria; Pseudomonadati; Gemmatimonadota.
UAGGGAAUCUUCGGCAAUGGACGAAAGUCUGACCGAGCAACGCCGCGUGAGUGAAGAAGGUUUUCGGAUCGUAAAACUCUGUUGUUAGAGAAGAACAAGGACGUUAGUAACUGAACGUCCCCUGACGGUAUCUAACCAGAAAGCCACGGCUAACUACGUGCCAGCAGCCGCGGUAAUACGUAGGUGGCAAGCGUUGUCCGGAUUUAUUGGGCGUAAAGCGAGCACAGGCGGUUUCUUAAGUCUGAUGUGAAAGCCCCCGGCUCAACCGGGGAGGGUCAUUGGAAACUGGGAGGCUUGAGUGCAGAAGAGGAGAGUGGAAUUCCAUGUGUAGCGGUGAAAUGCGUAGAUAUAUGGAGGAACACCAGUGGCGAAGGCGGCUCUCUGGUCUGUAACUGACGCUGAGGCUCGAAAGCGUGGGGAGCAAACAGG